Molecule: ribosomal RNA, 743 nt
Filed under: Agathylla neutra merditana
Lineage: Eukaryota; Metazoa; Mollusca; Gastropoda; Stylommatophora; Clausiliidae
Description: partial 16S large subunit ribosomal RNA
Rfam family: Bacterial large subunit ribosomal RNA (bases 334-500)
Source: RNAcentral
UGAGCAUUUCAAAUAUUAGAUGUAAAAUUAUUGUAACAUAAAUAAAUUAAAAAAUUUAGGUAGUGGUGAAACGCCUAUCAUUUUUAUUGAUAACUGGAUUAAAAGAAAAUAUAUCAAGUAUAAAAGACAAUUUUAAAACGAUAAGGUUUUAAAAAAAAUGAAUAAUAAAUAUAAUUUAAUUUAUUAUCUAGUAAAACUAUUUAAUAUACAAGUCAAAAUAAAACUUAAUCUAUAUAAACAUCACUAGGCACCCUUUUAUGUGAUUUAAAAUAAAACUUCCCAUUAAUAAUGUAGCAAUUAGUAAGUAUUAUAAGUAUUACUAAGGAACUCGACAAAUAUUUUGUACAACUGUUUAUCAAAAACAUAACCAUAAGCAUAUUUUUAUGGUGACGUCCGCCCAGUGAUAUAUUUUUAACGGCCGCAGUACUUUGACUGUGCAAAGGUAGCAUAAUAACUUGGCUUUUAAUUGGAGUCUGGAAUGAGAGAAGUAAUGUAUAAAAAUUGUCUCAAACUCUAUGAUACUAAAAUUAUUUAAGAAGUGAAAAUACUUCUAUGUGUAAUAAAAGACGAGAAGACCCUUAGAAUUUUUACUAAAUAAUUAAAUUAUUAAUUAUCCGUUUUAGUUGGGGCAACUCUAUUUCAUGUAAAAUAAAUAGUAAAUAGUUGAUAUAUCUACCGAUUUAAAUAAAUAAAAAUAAAUUACCUAAGGGAUAACAGCAUAAUUUUAUUAGUUAAGAUUGUGA